AUGAAAAGUCUUCAAAUCCAAAUAAAGACAGACUGGAGGAGAAAAUAAUAGAAGGAAAUGUGGAUUGAACGGCAAACCGGACAAUAUUAUCUACCAAACGUUCAUGGAAUGUAUAUAAAACCUCCUGUACGCAUGAAGCAUGAAGAGGACCAUGCAUGAAAAGGCAAGGUGUUUCGUUCUUUUGGCAAAAUUCACAAGUUCUCAAUAUGACGAGCAGGAAAAGUGUUCUAAACUUUUGCUGUACAAGAAAAAGCUGGAAGGACUUUAUCAACGUAAUUCAAUAGCAAAGAAGAAUCAGAUAAUCACUGAAGAUGUGCUGUUUCGUAUUCUUCAAAUUCAAGAGGUUGGUAGCGUUGAACACUACCAGCUCAAUGGCUCACUCAUCAAAAUACACGUCUUGGAGGAUACGGAUAUUUAGUAUCAUCAAUGGCAUUUUUUAAAAUGAUUGAACAGAUAACUUUUAAGCUUUCGUUCUAAACGUAGCUUUUAGAAUUAUUUAGAACUAUUUAAAAAAAGCAGGAGGUAACGAUAUCGAUAUCGUGAUACCAGUUCAUGAUAUUCACUACCACAGUACCAAUAUCUUGAGACUGAAUACAGUAAGCUAUAUCUUUAAUGUAACAGAAAUGAAAAUAUUCCCUUGCUAUCACAAACCCUUUCUUGGAGAAGGUCCGGUAUUCCUACCGCGAUAACAUCAUGAAAGACAGUAGAAUCCAACCAAAAUGACCGAGUUUAAAUGACGCGAACACAUUUUUGAGUGUUGAAUGUCCUUGCUGUGUAAAAUUCUUAAUCCGAUCAUUGGACCACCCCGUAACUACUAAAUUAGAUUGUUUUGAAAUUCUUACUUAUGUGUAUUAUUCCUCUUAAAACCUUUUCCUUCGUUUUUACGACGGGAAAACGUGGAGUACAAUAGAACUUUUUCUGCAUCUAUAUCUAUA
Long non-coding RNA from Pocillopora damicornis (cauliflower coral), 935 nucleotides. RefSeq lists it as uncharacterized. The record is from RefSeq and is a predicted model, not a curated record. NCBI's taxonomy places the organism in Eukaryota, Metazoa, Cnidaria, Anthozoa, Scleractinia, Pocilloporidae.